RNAcentral lists this ribosomal RNA (251 nucleotides) under uncultured Eubacteriales bacterium. Its description in RNAcentral is "uncultured Clostridiales bacterium partial 16S ribosomal RNA". It matches the Rfam family "Bacterial small subunit ribosomal RNA", at positions 83 to 334 of the family's 1533-position model. The record is from RNAcentral. Lineage: Bacteria; Bacillati; Bacillota; Clostridia; Eubacteriales.
AAAAGUGGAUUAGCGGCGGACGGGUGAGUAACACGUGAGUAACCUGCCUUAGACAUUGGGAUAGCCUCGGGAAACCGGGAUUAAUACCAAAUAAAAUCAUAAUGACACAUGUCAUAACGAUCAAAACUCCGGUGGUCUAAGAUGGACUCGCGUCCCAUUAGCUAGUCGGUAGAGUAAAAGCCUACCAAGGCGACGAUGGGUAGCCGGCCUGAGAGGGUGAACGGCCACAUUGGAACUGAGAAACGGUCCAA